AGUGCCUGGCACAUAAUAGGUGCUUAAUAAAUAUUUGUUUAUUACUUAUGGGAAAAUGCCAUGCCUUCUUCAUUAUUGCUUUAAAAAUUAACAGUCCUAAACUAGAACCAUUCCCAAUAAGCUCGGGGUGAAACAAGGUUGCCCAUUAUCACCAUUAGUUUUGUCAAUAAGAGAAGAAAAAGAGAUUAAAAGAAUUAAAGUAGGUAAUGAAACCAAAUUAUCACUCUUUGCAGAUGGUAUUCUUAGAGAACCUUAGAGAAUCAACUAAAAAAACCACAAAAAACAAUUCACAACUUUAGCAAAGUUCCAGGAUAUAAAAUAAAUCCACAUAAAUCAUUAGCAUUUUUAUAUAUUAUGAACAAAGUCCAGCAGCAAAAGAUACAAAGAGAAAUUCUAAUCAAAAUAACUGUUGAUAGUAUAAAAUAUUUGGGAAUCUAUCUGCCAAGAGAAAGUCAGGAGCUAUAUGAACACAACUAAAAAACAAUUUCCACACAAAUAAAAUCAGAUUUAAUCAUUUAGGAAAAUAUCAAGUGCUCCUAGGUAGGUUGAGCAAAUAUAAUAAAAAUGACCAUACUUUCUAAAUUUAUCUACUUAUUAAGUGCCAUACCAAUCAAACUCCCAAAAAGUUAUUUUACGGACCUAGAAAAAAUAAUAACAAAGUUCAUCUGGAAAAACAAAAGGUCAAGAAUUUCUAGAGAAUUAAUAAAAAAAAUGCAAAUGAAGAUGGCUUAGCUGUGCCAGACCUAAAACUAUACUAUUAAGCAUCAGGUACAGGUACUGGCUAAGAAAUAGAGUAGUCAAUCAGUGGAAUAGAUUAGGUUCACAAGACACAAAAUAGUCAAUAAUGAUAGCAAUCUUGUAUUUGACAAAUCCAAAAAUCCCACCUUUUGGGAUAAGAACUCACUAUUUGACAAAAACUGCUGGAAAAAUUGGAAACUUGUAUGGCAGAAACUAGGCAUUGACCCACACCUAAUACCAUAUACCAAGAUAAAGUUGAAAUAGGUUCAUGAUUUAGCUAUAAAGAGUGAUAUUAUAAGCAAAUUAGAAGAAUGUAGGAUAGUUUACGUCUCAGAUCUAUGGAGAAGGAAGGAAUUUGUGACUGAAAUGAGAACUGGGACUCAUUAUUGAACACCAAAUAGAUAAUUUUGAUUACAUUAAGUUUAAAAAUUUUUGUACAAACAAAACUAAUGCAGACAAGAUUAGAAGGGAAGCAAGAAAUUGGGAAAACAUUUGUAUAUUUAAAGGUUCUGAUAAAGGCCUUAUUUCUAAAAUAUAUAGAGAAUUGACUCAAAUUUAUAAGAAUUUAAGCCAUUCUCCAAUUGAUAAAUGGUCAAAGGAUAUGAACAGAAAAUUUUCCAGUAAAUUAAAACCAUUUCUAUUCAUAAGAAAAGGUGUUCCAACUCACUACUGAUCAGAGAAAUCCAAAUUAAGAGAACUCUGAGAUAUCACUAACCAUCUCUCAAAUUGGCUAAAAUGACAGGAAAAGAUAAUGACAAUGUUGGAGGGGAUGUGGGAAAACUGGGACAUUGAUACAUUGUUGUGAAUUGUGAAUGGAUACAACCAUUCUGGAGAGCAGUUUGGAAUUAUGCUCAAAAAGUUAACAAACUGUGCAUACCCUUUGACCCAGCAGUGUUACUACUGGGCUUAUAUCCCAAAGAGAAAUUAAAGAAGGGAAAGGGACCUGUAUGUGCACGAAUGUUUGUGGCAGUCCUUUUUGUAGUGGCAAGAAACGGGAAACUGAGUGGAUGCCCAUCAAUUGGAGAAUGGCUGAAGAAAUUGUGGUAUAUGAAUGUUGUAGAAUACUAUUGUUCUAUGAGAAACAAUAAGCAGGAUGAUUUCAGAGAGGCCUGAAGAGACUUACAUGAACUGAUACUAAGUGAGAUGAGCAGAACUAGAAGAUCAUUAUACACGACAGCACUGAGACUAUAUGAUGAUCAAUUCUGAUGGACCUGGCUCUCUUCAAGAAAAAGAUGUGGAUAUCCAGGUCAGUUCCAAUGGUCUUGUAAUAAUGAGAGCCAUCCAUACCCAGAGAGAGGACUGUGGGAACUGAGUGUGGAUCACAAUAUAGCAUUUUCAGUCUUUUUGUUGUUUGCUUG
Molecule: long non-coding RNA, 2096 nt
Organism: Sarcophilus harrisii (Tasmanian devil)
Lineage: Eukaryota; Metazoa; Chordata; Mammalia; Dasyuromorphia; Dasyuridae
Source: Ensembl